AGCCAUGCAAGCCAGGCGAAGCAUAUGCGGAGCGGCAGACAGCUCAGUAGUACAGUUAUGAUUUACUCGCGGCAGAGAGACGGAUAACCAUGGUAAGCUAUGGCUAAUACGUGGACAGGCUGCUAGGGUGGUGAGCACAGGCAGCGGACAGGGCGCGGCCGCGACUAAGUUUCUGGCCUAUCAGCUACUGAAGGUAGGGUAAUGGCCUACCUUGGCGACGACGGGUGACGGGGGAUGAGAGUCUGAUUCCGGAGAGGGAGCCUGAGAAACAGCUCCCACGUCUAAGGAUGGCAGCAGGCGCGAAACUUACCCAAUCCCUUGCGGGGGAGGUAGCGAAGAGACAUGGGGUGCGCCCCGAGACCGCACGGAAAAGGAGUGCGGGACGACUGGAGGGCAAGUCUGGUGCCAGCAGCCGCGGUAAUUCCAGCUCCAGUAGCGCAUACAUUUGUUGCUGCAGUUAAAACGUGCGUAGUUGGCCCGACCUUUUGGAGGUGCUGUGAGGAAAAUGCUGUGCUCAAGGCGGCAGGCAGCAUGGACACGUGGGCGAGAGGAACAGACGACGGCGGCAGUAUCGGGCAGCGAGAGGUGAAAAUCAGUGACCUGCCGGGGACUUUCUGAAGCGGAGGCGGCCGCCGGGGAUGUAUCCGUUGAUCAAGGACGUAAGCCGGAGGAUCGAAGAUGAUUAGAUACCGUCGUAGUUCCGGCUGUAAACGAUGCCGACUAGGCGAGGCCUGCGGGCUGUGCCUUAGGAGAAAUCAAGAGUUUUUGGGCUCUGGGGAUAGUACGGUCGCAAGACAGAAACUUAAAGAAAUU
This 813-nucleotide ribosomal RNA is filed under the name Microsporidium sp. BBRE3. RNAcentral's name for it is "SSU rRNA". It matches the Rfam family "Microsporidia small subunit ribosomal RNA", at positions 46 to 788 of the family's 1311-position model. The record is from RNAcentral. Lineage: Eukaryota; Fungi; Microsporidia.